RNAcentral lists this ribosomal RNA (254 nucleotides) under uncultured bacterium. RNAcentral describes it as "partial small subunit ribosomal RNA". It matches the Rfam family "Bacterial small subunit ribosomal RNA", at positions 26 to 285 of the family's 1533-position model. The record is from RNAcentral.
AGGACGAACGCUGGCGGCGUGCUUAACACAUGCAGGUCGAGCGGAAAGGCCCUUCGGGGUACUCGAGCGGCGAACGGGUGAGUAACACGUGAGUAAUCUGCCCCUAGCUCUGGGAUAGCUCCGGGAAACCGGGAUUAAUACCGGAUACGACCACCUUAGACAUCUUUUGUGGUGGAAAGAAUUUCGGCUAGGGAUGAGCUCGCGGCCUAUCAGCUUGUUGGUGGGGUAACGGCCUACCAAGGCGACGACGGGUA